This 230-nucleotide unclassified non-coding RNA is filed under the name uncultured Gammaproteobacteria bacterium. RNAcentral describes it as "contains 16S-23S intergenic spacer region". The record is from RNAcentral. Lineage: Bacteria; Pseudomonadati; Pseudomonadota; Gammaproteobacteria.
UCCGGUUUGUCACCGGCAGUCUCGCAUGAGUCCCCAACUAAAUGCUGGCAACAUGCGACGGGGGUUGCGCUCGUUGCGGGACUUAACCCAACAUCUCACGACACGAGCUGACGACAGCCAUGCAGCACCUGUGUCCAGGUUCCCUUUCGGGCACACUCCCAUCUCUGGGAGCCUCCUGGCAUGUCAAGGGUAGGUAAGGUUUUUCGCGUUGCAUCGAAUUAAUCCACAUA